UUAUCAGACUUGUAGCAAAGUUGUUCUAACAAGCCUGAUACAGUCAUGGUAUAACAAGAAUGUUACAAGGUUGAUGACACAAGGUUGUAACCAUAUUGUUAUAUCAUGACUGUAUCGGACUUGUUGGAACAACCUUGCAACAAGUCUGAUAA
Molecule: microRNA precursor, 152 nt
Filed under: Paramuricea clavata
Lineage: Eukaryota; Metazoa; Cnidaria; Anthozoa; Malacalcyonacea; Plexauridae
Source: RNAcentral